UACGUAGGGGGCAAGCGUUGUUCGGAAUUACUGGGCGUAAAGCGAGUGUAGGCGGUGUGGUAAGUCGGAUGUGAAAGCCCCGGGCUCAACCCGGGAAGUGCACUCGAUACUGCCACGCUAGAGUAUCGGAGAGGUUGGUGGAAUUCUCGGUGUAGAGGUGAAAUUCGUAGAUAUCGAGAGGAACACCGGUGGCGAAGGCGGCCAACUGGACGAAUACUGACGCUGAGACUCGAAAGCGUGGGGAGCAAACAGG
This 253-nucleotide ribosomal RNA is filed under the name uncultured bacterium. Its description in RNAcentral is "partial 16S ribosomal RNA". It matches the Rfam family "Bacterial small subunit ribosomal RNA", at positions 524 to 776 of the family's 1533-position model. The record is from RNAcentral.